Molecule: unclassified non-coding RNA, 239 nt
Filed under: uncultured fungus
Lineage: Eukaryota; Fungi
Description: sequence contains ITS1
Source: RNAcentral
GUUUAUAAUGCGCGUUAUGCACAGAGACAUUCCAUCACAUUCAGAGUGUGUAAAAAUACUUUGGAACCCAGAACGACACAAGUGCCGUCUAGCUGCGACACCGGAAGAGGUGUGCGGAUCCCAAAGUCAAAGGUGCACAGGUGUGUGGAUUUGCGACCGCCGUGCACAUGCGUUGCCACCAGCACAGACGGCCGACUUGUCAUUCAUUAAUGAUCCUUCCGCAGGUUCACCUACGGAAA